RNAcentral lists this ribosomal RNA (422 nucleotides) under uncultured Glomeraceae. Its description in RNAcentral is "SSU rRNA". It matches the Rfam family "Eukaryotic small subunit ribosomal RNA", at positions 459 to 886 of the family's 1831-position model. The record is from RNAcentral. Lineage: Eukaryota; Fungi; Glomeromycota; Glomeromycetes; Glomerales; Glomeraceae.
GGGAGGUAGUGACAAUAAAUAACAAUACGGGGUCCUUUCGGGUUUCGUAAUUGGAAUGAGUACAAUUUAAAUCUCUUAACGAGGAACAAUUGGAGGGCAAGUCUGGUGCCAGCAGCCGCGGUAAUUCCAGCUCCAAUAGCGUAUAUUAAAGUUGUUGCAGUUAAAAAGCUCGUAGUUGAAUUUCGGGAUCAGUACGUUGGUCGUGCCUUAGGUACGUACUGGUGUUACUGGUUCCUACCUUCUGACGAACCAUCAUGUCAUUCAUUUGGUGUGGCGGGGAAUCAGGACUGUUACUUUGAAAAAUUAGAGUGUUUAAAGCAGGCUCGCGCUUGAAUACAUUAGCAUGGAAUAAUGAAAUAGGACAUUGUAUUCUAUUUUGCUGGUUUCUAGGAUCGAUGUAAUGAUUAAUAGGGAUAGUUGGG